Molecule: transfer RNA, 68 nt
Filed under: Parrhinotermes browni
Lineage: Eukaryota; Metazoa; Arthropoda; Insecta; Blattodea; Rhinotermitidae
Description: tRNA-Trp
Source: RNAcentral
AAGGACUUAAGUUAAAUAAACUUAUAGCCUUCAAAGCUAUGCAUAAGGGAACCAACCUUUAGGCCUUG